AACAUCGCGCACCUGCGGGAACCUGCGGAAGGAUCAUUACCGAGUUAUACAACUCAUCAACCCCUGUGAACUUACCUACAACGUUGCUUCGGCGGGAACAGACGGCCCCGUAAAACGGGCCGCCCCCGCCAGAGGACCCCUAACUCUGUUUUUAUAAUGUUUUUCUGAGUAAACAAGCAAAUAAAUUAAAACUUUCAACAAUGGAUCU
This 208-nucleotide unclassified non-coding RNA is filed under the name soil metagenome. RNAcentral's name for it is "partial contains 5.8S ribosomal RNA, internal transcribed spacer 2, and large subunit ribosomal RNA". The record is from RNAcentral.